AGCAGCCGCGGUAAUUCCAGCUCCAAUAGCGUAUAUUAAAGUUGUUGCAGUUAAAAAGCUCGUAGUUGAAUUUUAGGCCUGGCCGGGCGGUCCGUCUUUGGCGAGUACUGUCUGUUGUCGGGUCUCCCUUCUGGUGAACCAAUAUGUCCUUUAUUGGGUGUGCUGGGGAGCCAGGACCAUUACCUUGAAAAAAUUAGAGUGUUUAAAGCAGGCUUUUGCUUGAAUAGAUUAGCAUGGAAUAAUAGAAUAGGACGUUGUGGUUCUAUUUUGUUGGUUUCUAGGACCGCCGUAAUGAUUAAUAGGGAUAGUUGGGGGCAUUAGUAUUCAAUUGUCAGAGGUGAAAUUCUUGGAUUUAUUGAAGACUAACUAUUGCGAAAGCAUUUGCCAAGGAUGUUUUCAUUAAUCAAGAACGAGAGUUAGGGGAUCGAAGACGAUCAGAUACCGUCGUAGUCUUAACCAUAAACUAUGCCGACUAGGAAUCGGGCGACGUUAUUUUAAUGACUCGCUCGGCGCCUUAUGG
Molecule: ribosomal RNA, 520 nt
Filed under: uncultured Archaeospora
Lineage: Eukaryota; Fungi; Glomeromycota; Glomeromycetes; Archaeosporales; Archaeosporaceae
Description: SSU rRNA
Rfam family: Eukaryotic small subunit ribosomal RNA
Source: RNAcentral